CUACAUUCUUCAAUUCUAACUAUUUCUAUUCAGUUUCCAGGUAUCUGUGCUUUUUUUUUUUUUUUUUUUUUUUUUUUAACUGAAAAUUUGUCUGCAUCGACAAAUAAUCGAAACUUACUACCAUCUUUCUCUCUCUCUCUCUCUGUGUGUAUGUGUGCACGUGGGCGGUGAAGGGACCUCAGUUCAUUCACACAGGCAAUCUAAGAGUUAUCAGCUUCAAGGACGAGCAAAUAAAAGCCACCCUGCCAGUCCGGGGACAUUUUAUCAAGCCCUCCUACCCUCAAUCUGGUCACAAACAAACCAAAAGCCAACUUUUCUCCUGUAGCUCCUUAUAAACGCUUUCACUCACUUUAAAAAAAAAAAUCACAGACUUGGAUGGGACAGCCCUGAACCCAAAUGCACCACGGAUCACUUCACGAACCUGCAGCUGCGGACGCUCUACUGGACUUAAAACUGGCAUUAACAAAGAGACACUGGCACGAGAAGGAAGACCGAGAGUAGAAGAGAAAAAGAGUAGCUGCAGGGAAAAGUGCAACUAUUGAGUAUGAAUGAAUCUGGAAAGACCUUUUGAAAAUUAAGGUGAGUAGGCAUUUCCCUCCUAUAGGUCUGAAGCAUUUAAUGUUUGAAUGAACAGUUUAAAUUGUAAAGAGCUCUGAUGGACCCUCGCCUGUGCCGAUUCAGCUCAGAUGUGUUUAACAUUAAAAGUAGACUGAAAACUCAUUCAAGCUCAUUUGGCAUACAGCCUGACCCAGUCUUUAAUUUCAUCAUUUUAAAGAAGUUAAGGUAAACUUGGUAAUUGAGUCUCACAUGGGUCUUUCUUUGUCUCCUUCACACACACAGGUGCACACAGCUGCAGUCAUCCCCACAAUCAGUUAGGAAAAAAAAGACUAGACUGGACUUUGGACAUACUGGAUAAGCCUAGAAUAUUUACAUGACACUAUGGCUUUUUUUUUUUUUCUUUUCCUUCAAAAUCUGUUAUUGUCUGUUUUUACUGCUUUAAAAAAAAAAAAAAAAAAUUGGCCAAGUAUAAACUGCACAAUUUAUUUAAUCUGGAUUUUUCUUUCCUGAUUUUACACUUUUCCCCCGUUUUGUUUCACCAGGUCACCCAUCCACCACUUUGCACCAACAGCGCCUCUGUCUGCAGAAAACCUUGUCCUCCAGAGCUGUGGAGUGUGACAAUGGUGUUUGUUUCCUCUCCGUCAAACGCCAUUAUCACACUAAAUAGCUACAGUGUGAAAAGCACCUCGGCGCAUUCCUUCACUUUUGGGUUUAAGUGUUUUGUUUUUUGUUUUUUAAAUAAAUCCUCCUGUUUUAAAUUUGUUGUUCACACUGUAAAGCAAGACUGUAUGUCAGCUGUGCCAAUGGCUCUGUGCACACUACACCAGAGCAGGAGAUGGAAAUAGACAUUUGGUGUGUUUAUGCAUCGUAUGUGAUGCUGAGCCUCUGAGUGUGGCCUACUUUCUUUUUGGAUUCAAGGUGCUAAUUUGCUGCUAGAGACCUUAAAACAGGCCUUGGUUUACUACUACUGCUGAUGCCAGAUUUGUAAAUGUAACGCCUAUUGCACAUUUGUCUCUCUGUUUACCAUAAAUAAAGUGCUUUUGAUUUGUUGCUGACAGAGGUUCACAUUUCACGGACGCCUUCAAGACCAAGCGGAGAACAAACAUACGCAGGAAUUUGUAUUCCUUCUAGUAAUGUUGACUCACCGUCUUUCACCUGUCCUACCACGCACAUGCGAAAGAAAUCAAACAUUUGCAA
Oreochromis niloticus (Nile tilapia) is the source of this 1755-nucleotide long non-coding RNA. RefSeq lists it as uncharacterized. The transcript has 2 exons. The record is from RefSeq and is a predicted model, not a curated record. Lineage: Eukaryota; Metazoa; Chordata; Actinopteri; Cichliformes; Cichlidae.